This 73-nucleotide transfer RNA is filed under the name Halobacteriales archaeon QS_8_69_73. RNAcentral's name for it is "tRNA-Val". It matches the Rfam family "tRNA". From Rfam's summary of the family: Transfer RNA (tRNA) molecules are approximately 80 nucleotides in length. Their secondary structure includes four short double-helical elements and three loops (D, anti-codon, and T loops). The record is from RNAcentral. Lineage: Archaea; Methanobacteriati; Methanobacteriota; Halobacteria; Halobacteriales.
GGGUCUGUGGUCUAGUGGCUAUGACGCGGCCCUUACAAGGCCGAGGUCGGUGGUUCGAAUCCGCCCGGACCCA